GUGCUUGCUUUGGCAGUACACAUACUAAAAUUACAAUAAAUCAGUGAUUAGCCUGGCCCCUUCACAAAAAUGAGACACAAAUAAAUGAAGCAUUCCAUACUGUG
Small nuclear RNA from Mesocricetus auratus (golden hamster), 104 nucleotides. NCBI's taxonomy places the organism in Eukaryota, Metazoa, Chordata, Mammalia, Rodentia, Cricetidae. The record is from Ensembl.